RNAcentral lists this ribosomal RNA (45 nucleotides) under Lipolexis oregmae. RNAcentral's name for it is "partial 28S ribosomal RNA". Lineage: Eukaryota; Metazoa; Arthropoda; Insecta; Hymenoptera; Braconidae. The record is from RNAcentral.
ACAGCGACCUCAGAGUAGGUGAGACUACCCCCUAAAUUUAAGCAU